RNAcentral lists this ribosomal RNA (366 nucleotides) under uncultured bacterium. RNAcentral describes it as "partial 16S ribosomal RNA". It matches the Rfam family "Bacterial small subunit ribosomal RNA", at positions 338 to 701 of the family's 1533-position model. The record is from RNAcentral.
CCUACGGGUGGCAGCAGUGAGGAAUAUUGGUCAAUGGGCGCGAGCCUGAACCAGCCAAGUAGCGUGAAGGAUGACGGCCCUACGGGUUGUAAACUUCUUUUAUAAAGGAAUAAAGUGAGGCACGUGUGCAUUUUUGUAUGUACGCUAUGAAUAAGGAUCGGCUAACUCCGUGCCAGCAGCCGCGGUAAUACGGAGGAUCCGAGCGUUAUCCGGAUUUAGUGGGUUUAAAGGGAGCGUAGAUGGGUUGUUAAGUCAGUGGUGAAAGUUUGCGGCUCAACCGUAAAAUUGCAUUUGAUACGGGCAGUCUUGAGUUCAGUUGCGGUAGGCGGAAUUCGUGGUGUAGCGGUGAAAUGCUUAGAUAUCACG